ACUUUGUUUUUUUUUUUAGAUUCAUAUACAUAUUAUUGAUCACUUGUAGAAAUAAUGUUUUGAUAUCCCUUUUUAUAGGAAGUCGAGGGUUUGCCAGCAUUCCCUGUGGGCAAGAUUGAUCGGAUUCGAAUGUGGAAAGUAGGUGAAUGGGUUCAGGCUGUCCGACCCAUGGGUGAUUUAGGACCAUUGUAUCCUUUCAUAGCUGGCAUAGGCCUAUCCGUCACGAUGCAGACGUAGAUACCGUCGUACACCGUAAACGAUCAUAACCAUCACUAUCAUCGACGAAAAGAAGCCUAACAAACUGCCUGAAGAGCCUGUAGAACCAUCUGAGCCUAUUCCCGAAGAAGCAAUUCAGAACCAAAAGUGGCCUUCAAAAGUAUAACUUGCUGGUGGCUGGCUCGAGAUUAUUAUGAAUUAGAAUUAGACCUUUCAGGUUUGAGCUUUGAUAUUUGUUGUUUGAUGUUA
Molecule: long non-coding RNA, 465 nt
Filed under: Helianthus annuus (common sunflower)
Lineage: Eukaryota; Viridiplantae; Streptophyta; Magnoliopsida; Asterales; Asteraceae
Description: sRNA HanXRQr2_Chr15g0705971
Source: RNAcentral